UAGGUCGACCCGCUGAACUUAAGCAUAUCAAUAAGCGGAGGAAGAGAAACCAACCAGGAUUCCCUUAGUAACGGCGAGCGAAGUGGGAAGAGCUCAGGCUGCCAAUCUCCGACCGAGAGGUCGGUGAAUUGUGGUCUGGAGACGCCAACUGUCCUUGCUUGCUUCUCUGGCCCGAAGUUGACCUGGAAUGGCGCGUCAGAGAGGGUGACAGUCCCGUAGGGCCGUGAGUGGGAAGUGGGUGGAUGUAAUUUGGCGCUCAGCGAGUCGGGUUGUUUGGGAAUGCAGCCCAAAGCGGGUGGUAAACUCCAUCCAAAGCUAAACAGCGGCACGAGACCGAUAGCGAACAAGUACC
This 352-nucleotide ribosomal RNA is filed under the name Petrosia sp. D GPM-2011. RNAcentral describes it as "eukaryotic LSU rRNA". It matches the Rfam family "Eukaryotic large subunit ribosomal RNA", at positions 16 to 352 of the family's 3401-position model. Lineage: Eukaryota; Metazoa; Porifera; Demospongiae; Haplosclerida; Petrosiidae. The record is from RNAcentral.